CACGGAAUCUCUAUUUCUCUCACAACAUAUAUGUACUCUCCCUCUCACUUCCAUUUCGGCGUUGCAGAGAAAAUGAAGAAACCUUUAUCAUCAUCGCCCAUUGAAGUACUUGUCGGGACUUGGUCACAAGUUCGCCAGUGAGGAGUGGCUUCGGCAUAGUGGUUGAAGACGUGAUCGACAACUAUUUUCAGCGUUGUUAAAGGUACUAGAAACCGUUUUUGGGCUCAGGGUUUUGUUUCCUAUUGAUUUAUUAUAAUUCGGUACAUGAAAGUUAAUUAAAAAUUUUGUGUUUUUUAUUAUUAAAGGAGUCUACUGUCUGUCUAUUAAUGUUUUUGUUCAUUGUUCAUGUUUAUUUUUUGUUUUGGAGUUUGGUUAUGGUUUUUGCAUUU
Non-coding RNA from Arachis ipaensis, 389 nucleotides. Lineage: Eukaryota; Viridiplantae; Streptophyta; Magnoliopsida; Fabales; Fabaceae. The record is from RefSeq and is a predicted model, not a curated record.